RNAcentral lists this ribosomal RNA (253 nucleotides) under uncultured bacterium. Its description in RNAcentral is "partial 16S ribosomal RNA". It matches the Rfam family "Bacterial small subunit ribosomal RNA", at positions 524 to 776 of the family's 1533-position model. The record is from RNAcentral.
UACAGAGGUCUCAAGCGUUGUUCGGAUUCAUUGGGCGUAAAGGGUGUGUAGGUGGCGCCGUAAGUCGGGUGUGGAAUUUCGGAGCUUAACUCCGAAACUGCAUUCGAUACUGCGGUGCUUGAGGACUGGAGAGGAGACUGGAAUUCAUGGUGUAGCAGUGAAAUGCGUAGAGAUCAUGAGGAAGACCAGUGGCGAAGGCGGGUCUCUGGACAGUUCCUGACACUGAGACACGAAGGCCAGGGGAGCAAACGGG